This 494-nucleotide ribosomal RNA is filed under the name uncultured bacterium. Its description in RNAcentral is "partial 16S ribosomal RNA". It matches the Rfam family "Bacterial small subunit ribosomal RNA", at positions 28 to 507 of the family's 1533-position model. The record is from RNAcentral.
GACGAACGCUGGCGGCGUGCUUAACACAUGCAAGUCGAACGGAAAGGCCUGCUUUCCCUUGUGGAUUGCGGGUACUCGAGUGGCGAACGGGUGAGUAACACGUGAGUGAUCUGCCCCCAACUUGGGUAUAAGCCUGGGAAACUGGGUCUAAUUCCCGAUAGGACUGCAGGGUGGUGCCUGUGGUGGAAAACGAUUUUCUAGUGGUUGGGGAUGAGCUCGCGGCCUAUCAGCUUGUUGGUGGGGUAAUGGCCUACCAAGGCGGCGACGGGUAGCCGGCCUGAGAGGGUGGACGGCCACAUUGGGACUGAGAUACGGCCCAGACUCCUACGGGAGGCAGCAGUGGGGAACAUUGCACAAUGGGCGGAAGCCUGAUGCAGCGACGCCGCGUGGGGGAUGACGGCCUUCGGGUUGUAAACUCCUUUCGACCGCGAGGAAGCCACCUGGUUGGAAGGGUGGUGACGGUAGUGGUAGAAGAAGCACCGGCUAACUACGUG